UUUGCCAGGCGCCACGCGGUUAUACUCAGUCAGCUAUAUAGAUCGUCAUAGGUAUAAAUCAUAGACAAAAUUUUGAGAGGAAAAUUAGCCAUACGGAACUACUACAGGUAGAAUAGAGUGGUGCACCGUAUAUCAUAUCUAAUAACUAAUUGCUAUCUGUGAAGCUGGGACCUAAAACCAGGAUUAGAGACCCUGCUAUUCCCAGUGUAAAAAUAAUUUAAUUUGUUAAAUUGCCUCAGGACUAAAAGAAUAUUCUUCAAACUGUAAGGGCUUGGCGGUACCGGAGACCAAUCAGGGGAACCUGUCUCGUAAUAGAUAUUACACUAAAUACCUUACUUCUGCUUGUCAAGCAGCCCGUAUAUCGUUGUCUAGCUUAUAACAAUAAAUAAAUAAAAGUCGGCUAAGUAACCAGAAAUCUGGAAAGAAGUCAAAUCAAGAUGCAGCUAACUGCAGAAGGAGGGAUGGGUUACAUUUUUUAAUUAUGAAGGAGAACAGGCUGAGAGGCCUGAGGGAAACCGGACUUGAAAGUAAGAUUUUUUAGAUAGAAAAUUUGAACAAGGUAGCUCUGGUGUGUACAGAUCGCCCGUCGCUCUUGCUGAAAACUAAGAUAAGUCGUAACAAGUAAGGGGGUAAA
Molecule: ribosomal RNA, 634 nt
Filed under: Iravadia reflecta
Lineage: Eukaryota; Metazoa; Mollusca; Gastropoda; Littorinimorpha; Iravadiidae
Description: partial 12S rRNA
Source: RNAcentral